GCCUUCGUGGUGUAGUGGUCAGCACGCUCGACGCGUAUUCGAGAGGUCCGUGGUUCGAGACCCGGCGAGGGCA
RNAcentral lists this transfer RNA (73 nucleotides) under Stegodyphus dumicola. RNAcentral's name for it is "tRNA-Thr". Lineage: Eukaryota; Metazoa; Arthropoda; Arachnida; Araneae; Eresidae. The record is from RNAcentral.